RNAcentral lists this ribosomal RNA (114 nucleotides) under Periophthalmus magnuspinnatus. Lineage: Eukaryota; Metazoa; Chordata; Actinopteri; Gobiiformes; Gobiidae. The record is from RNAcentral.
AUUUGUGGUCAGACCUUCUUGUCAACACCUGAUCUAGUCAGAUCUCAGAAGCUAAGCAGGGUCGGACCUGGUUAGUACUUGGAAGACUGCUGGGGAAAUCAGGUGCUACACUGG